AAUACAUGUUGCUGUUGACUUUUAACAUAUGUUUGACCAUUUGUCUUAUUCAAAAAAUUUAUGCAAAUAUUAUUUAUUUUGUUAUGAAUUAGUUUAUUAGUAUAGAUAUUUUAAACAUGACUUGCAUUUUUAUAUAUUUGCAUAAAUUUUUUGAAUAAGACGAAUGGUCAAACAUGUGAUAAAAAGUCAAUGGCGACAUGUAUU
RNAcentral lists this microRNA precursor (204 nucleotides) under Leersia perrieri. RNAcentral's name for it is "MIR812 microRNA precursor family". It matches the Rfam family "MIR812 microRNA precursor family". The record is from Rfam by way of RNAcentral. Lineage: Eukaryota; Viridiplantae; Streptophyta; Magnoliopsida; Poales; Poaceae.